This 438-nucleotide unclassified non-coding RNA is filed under the name Hevea brasiliensis (rubber tree). Lineage: Eukaryota; Viridiplantae; Streptophyta; Magnoliopsida; Malpighiales; Euphorbiaceae. The record is from RNAcentral.
GGCGUCGUUCCCGUUUUCAUGACAAUUAGGUAUGUACUGCAUGAACACUAUUGACAAUUCUUCCACUUUUUAGUCAAUCCUUUAUGUUUACUAACAUUUACAAUAUAGAUCCUUUAUCUCAUCAAUCUCAACUAUGUAUUUGUGCUUAUUAAUUAUUGGUGAUAUACCUUAUCAGUGCACUCAAUAUAUUGGCAGCUCAUUAGUGAAAAGUGAAAGUAUUGAAAGAAAAGUGAUAGAGAUGCUGGAAAUUAAGGUAGUAACAUUGAUAAGUUACAUGUGGAUCGGAUCUUGUAACAUAUGUAAAUAGAUCUGCUGGUUAGACCUGAAUUUUUUUGUUUGACUGGUUAUAUGGUGACUGAAUUUGUUAUUGGGAUGAUACCUUUGAAUUCGAAAUUGAUUGUUAAUUUGCAUAUUAGGACUUGAUUUAGUUGUUCAUCC